AAAGUCGUAACAAGGUAACCGUAGGUGAACCUGCGGUUGGAUCAUUAGUAAAAUUUGAAUAUAUCAACGUGGAAAGCUCAAAUUGGAUUUAUUCUAUUUUGGGUAAGUACCGUUGAAACCUUAUGUGCAUUGUUUUAUUUCUACUUUUAUUAUUAUUUUUUUUAAAAUGUUAAUUAUUACAACUUCUGACAAUGGAUCUCUUGGCUCUU
RNAcentral lists this unclassified non-coding RNA (209 nucleotides) under Chytridiomycota sp. Its description in RNAcentral is "partial contains small subunit ribosomal RNA, internal transcribed spacer 1, and 5.8S ribosomal RNA". The stretch from base 1 to 47 matches the Rfam family "Eukaryotic small subunit ribosomal RNA", at positions 1785 to 1831 of the family's 1831-position model. Lineage: Eukaryota; Fungi; Chytridiomycota. The record is from RNAcentral.